GACAAUGGUAGGGAAGCAAAAUCAAUUAUAUUUGCCUUGGGAAGAAAAUGUGGGGCUUUUGUAUAUAUAUUAUAAUGUUUGAGAAGAUGAAAUGAGACUAAAAUUAUGUCAAAAACACUAGAAAAUACCCACCAUAGGAUGAGUAAUAAUGGCCACCUUUUCUCUCUGUUUAAUGAAUGGGCUGCAAUUACAGCUGCUACACUCCAUGUCAACACAAGAAAAAACAGAACCCUCAAACACAAAAUCUCUCAAAUUCAAGAAUUCAUUCACACAAAAUCCCAAGUAAGAAAUAGCUAUGGAGAAAUUCAAUAAAACUGUAAUCUUGAUGAAAAAUGUG
This 337-nucleotide unclassified non-coding RNA is filed under the name Hevea brasiliensis (rubber tree). The record is from RNAcentral. Lineage: Eukaryota; Viridiplantae; Streptophyta; Magnoliopsida; Malpighiales; Euphorbiaceae.